RNAcentral lists this long non-coding RNA (259 nucleotides) under Carica papaya (papaya). RNAcentral describes it as "long non-coding RNA (CPAP_LNC011232)". Lineage: Eukaryota; Viridiplantae; Streptophyta; Magnoliopsida; Brassicales; Caricaceae. The record is from RNAcentral.
UCGUCGAAGAAGACAACCCAGCCACUGGGGAGCCGACCGCCGCCAUCCGCCGCUGCACCAGAACCCUUUCCGACCACCAAAAAAGGUAAAAAUUUCUCAUUUUGCACGAAAUUCAAUUUUAAUCCCACCCAUGACAAAAUUGGAGUGAAAGAACCGACUAAUUGGCCGAAAAAUACCGACGAUGCCCGGUGGCGCCGCUGCAGAAAAUUUCAAAAAUCGCCUCCGAUGAGACCCUUUCUAAUUCCUGUUUCGCAUAAUU